Molecule: long non-coding RNA, 726 nt
Organism: Camelina sativa (false flax)
Lineage: Eukaryota; Viridiplantae; Streptophyta; Magnoliopsida; Brassicales; Brassicaceae
Source: RefSeq, a predicted model, not a curated record
UUUGAUCGACAGAAGAAGAAGAAGACAUGAACCGACAAGGCGGUGGUGGGAUUGAAGAAGAAGAAGAAAUUAACCGACAAGGCGGUGGUGGACAACGGCUGAGAUCAGCUAGACCCACCACAAUUCAUGAUUGUGCUCUCUCGGCGAUCUUAUUGCUUUGUAGCGGCUCCUUAAAGACAACCCUUCUCUUCUCAAUGAACGCAGUCCCCUCCUUGCUGGUGGCAAUGCUGCUCUUGCUCUUGCGGUGACUGUGGCAUCCAACUUAUUAGGAAUUUUAAGUGCAAAUAUUAUCUGAACCUUUUGAAUCUGUAAUGUGGCAACGCAGCUAGCAGCGGUGGCAGCAUUGUGUGUGCAAUACGAAUCUGAGUUUAGACCAAAUAUGAGUAUAGUUGUAAAAGCUCUGCAGCCACUUCUCAAACCUCCAGCGCCAAUCCCAGUUCCUGAAUCAUGAGUAUAUGCGCCUUUUAAAUACCCCCGGUGUCUUCUUCGUAUAAUAGAGUUAGAUUCUUUGUUCAUACAAAGUAAGAAUUUUACUCUGAUUUGGGAAAGAACAUAAAAGUAUAAUAAGAUCAUAACUAUGUUUUUUUUUUUUUGAGGGGAUGGAGUUAUUAGUCGGCAUUUUGGUUUGAAACAAGAGUGUAUUCUUAUGUUGCAUUUUGCUUAUGUGCUGUAUUGGAAACAAGCUUUGCUUGAUUGGCGUGGAGAACAAAAGAUGUAUUGCAAUUU